AUUGAACGCUGGCGGCAUGCUUUACACAUGCGAGUCGAACGGCAGCGCGGGCUUCGGCCUGGCGGCGAGUGGCGAACGGGUGAGUAAUGCAUCGGAACGUGCCCAGUAGUGGGGGAUAGCCCGGCGAAAGCCGGAUUAAUACCGCAUACGACCUGAGGGUGAAAGCGGGGGACCGAAAGGCCUCGCGCUAUUGGAGCGGCCGAUGUCGGAUUAGCUAGUUGGUGGGGUAAAGGCUUACCAAGGCGACGAUCCGUAGCUGGUCUGAGAGGACGACCAGCCACACUGAGACUGAGACACGGCCCAGACUCCUACGGGAGGCAGCAGUGGGGAAUUUUGGACAAUGGGGGCAACCCUGAUCCAGCCAUGCCGCGUGCGGGAAGAAGGCCUUCGGGUUGUAAACCGCUUUUGUUCGGGAAGAAAUCCUCUGGGCUAAUACCCCGGGGGGAUGACGGUACCGGAAGAAUAAGCACCGGCUAACUACGUG
RNAcentral lists this ribosomal RNA (484 nucleotides) under uncultured bacterium. RNAcentral describes it as "partial 16S ribosomal RNA". It matches the Rfam family "Bacterial small subunit ribosomal RNA", at positions 28 to 507 of the family's 1533-position model. The record is from RNAcentral.